GGGCUAGGAAGAGGAAACGAAUCAUCUCAUAUUCAAUCUCCAUCUCCAUCCCUAUCUUUCCUGCUCCCUCUCUGUGUUGUCUCUCUGAGACUGUCCCAUCCUCAUGGCUGUUAGCAAGUCCAUGCUGUGUGUUGUUCUUAUUCUCAUUAUCCUCGGGGUGGCUUUCACUGCUGAGGGCAGACCUCUGAAGGAAGACAAGACCAAGACCAAGACCAAGACCAGUAUGUGCAGCAGAUGCUGGACACAGAGUGACAUGAGUUCCAAAGGAACGGUGGAAGGCACCAUUGCACCCUCUGAAGAGAAUGGCAAUGGCAGCGGACGGUUGGUGGGCAACGACGAUGUUCGACCUACAAACCCAGGACACAGCCCCGGCGUGGGCCACUAAUCUGGCUCGAUCGAUCCAACGUGUGUGAUUUAAGAUGCUUGGUUUCUCAUCUUUCGUAUAUAAGUUUCAUCAUCAUCAUCAUCAUCAUCAUCAUUUAUCUCCUUCUAAUUAUUGUAUUGUGUUCAUCUGCGUUUAGAUCAGGUUUGGCUUUUCCUUAUCGCACUGUAUUACUUUUGUUUCACCGCAAUUUCAUUCAGUCCGAACGAUUGUUGUCUGAAGAAACACUAUCGAUGAUUGUGGUUAUGAAAGCUCGAGUUUAUUGUGUUUUGGCAUUUAAACGUCCCACGUAUCAGUUUCCGCGCAUUCUUUAUGCAUGCAUGCAUGCAUGCAUGCGCAGCACACGUCGAGUUGCACGUCUCACGUACCAGCAGUUCUCAUCACAAGAGACGAUUCUGCUUACUUGAAUACUCCUUUUGCACAUAUCUAUAUAUAAACCCUCGAAGCUUAUGCACCGGUAAAUUAGAUUUGGUCGCGCCUGAGCAGAUUCCGAUGCUCCACCUAUGUUUGUAAGCCUCCCAACAUACAUGUUGUGUGUGCACUGGAUUCAAUCUUGUUGUUGUAUGCUACAUUGCCAUAUGGAUCCUUUGACUGAAGUCUGAUCACCACGGGACUUCAGUGAACUGCUGAUCUCUCUCUCUCUCUCUCUCUCUCUCUCUCUCUCUCUCUCUCUCUCUCACACACACACACACACACACGCACUCACGCACGCAUAUAAGCCUUCAUCUGACAGAAUUAAUGGGCAUGGCCUGCAAGUCACCUGAUGACUGCAAAGAAUCGAGUUGAACGCAUCGGAGACUUGUUCAGUGAAAUGUUUGUACAAUUCCUAUAAAAAUAACUACACGUAACUUAGAAUUUGAUGUUGUUCCAGUGCAUGGCAUGAUCUACAGUGACCAUCAGGCUCCGGCCAUUUAACUUUAUAGUUGCAAGUUCCUGGAGACAGGGAACCAACCAGCUGACAGGAUCUCUCAGAUCCCAUCUCAUGCUCUUCCAACUCAAUUAUUUUAUGACUUCUCUUAACUGUUAACAUUCUCUGCCCCACCAAAGCUCACUUUCUCAGCUUUGUUCUUUAGAACAUGUAUUUUCUUUCUCUAUAGAUAAAUACUUUUUUGUGAGACAAACUUGAGUUGGAGUUGGCAUUUGGCACGUGUUUUGUUUCUAUUCCUAUUACUUUAGAGUUCCAAACCAUGCGCAAAGUACAUGAAAUAUAUAUAUAUAUAUAUAUAUACAUAUAUAUACAUAUAUAUAUAUAGAACCAAUGGGUUCCUUGUCAUCCUCUAUGGUUGUUAGGGGGCGCGGAUGCUCUAUAGUAAGACGGUGUAUGUUGUCCUGACAGUUCGCCUGAGUGCGGCCAGCAGUACACUCCAAUGUGGUGCCCAAACUUCGAUACGAUGGUAUGCAUUAUAUUAAGAGAUGCAUGCACGGGUAUGUAUUACAUUGAGAGACGCAAAGCAACUUUACAGAUGAAAUGUUGGACUGCCUUUUGUUGUGGAUCUCAAAGGAAUAUGCGACGGAUGUCUGCUAAGCGAAUUGUCCCAUCUAAAAGCUUUUAAGAGUUAGCGAUGCUCUUGUUCUUGUUGUCGCUUGGAAACGUCGAAGAGUCAGCGAUGGAGGAGGUGAUACCCAUGGCAGCAUCUGCACCACCACGUUCGUCUCCUCUGCAUCGAGACCCACUGUCAUCACGCAGUACCAUAAAUCCGUCGCAUCUUUCUUCUCUUGUCGGUGGACAGCUCGAUGGACCGGCGGCGGCGAACUCUGUCCUUGGAGCUGCCUAAACGAGAUGGUGGUGGUGGUGGUAGCACAGUUCUCUCCGUGUUCAUUUGAGAUUACAGGCAGCUCGAUCUCUUAUCAUCAUCAUAUAACAAAGAGAGGAAAAAACUUAACCAAACUGCAAAUUGGGCAUCCAAUAUCCGAAAAAUACGAGACAUGCAAGAACCAGAUCUGACACACCACCUCAUGGUUCUAUCAUGUGAUGAGAUUUAUAAGAUGAAAGCUAUACAAUCCAAGAUAAGUCUAUAUUCCUGCAUUAUCCAAAAUGUCCAAAAGUAUCUUUACUAAUGCAUAUUUGCAUAUAAAACCUUGUAAAUUUCCAAAGUUCUCUCAAUGCAUUCCAAGAGUUACAGUUAGAUGCAAUCUGAUAAAUCUGGCUAAUCACUGCAAGUUAAUGAGUUCAUACACACACAUCGAUCACGAAUGAAUAAGAACUCGGCUCGGCGGCACUGCCUGAGGUUUAGUUUCUCAGGGUAUAGAUAGAAAGCUAAUGCAAGAGAAAGAGUAAAAGAGGUGAAAUUAGUAAAUCUGAAACAUAUAUAGCACACAAGAAAACCAUUUUCAUUUAAUUUGAGAUCAACCAGAUGUAGUUAAUAUUAGAAACAGCACCUCUUUUUCCCCCCCCCCCCUUCUAGGCUAGCGGGAUAACACAUAGCAUCUUUGGUGGAGAAGAUCCAUUCUACUGAAACUUAAAAGAGUUAACCAAGUACUAACAUGCCACCAACUGCAGCGUUGAAACUCAUGAUCGAAUCGUGAAACAAGAUUAUGGACAACAGAUUUGGAAUGAUCUGAUUCUCCACAACUAUGGGAUCGGUAAGACAUCAACAUGCAGCAGCAGUCUUUGGUGGUGAGGACCCUUUCCCCCCAUUAACUUGCAUUCAUCUGCUACCAUCUGCACACAAUCUGAAAAGCACAUCCACCAGAACAAUUUGGUAGCCCAAUCUUAAAUCUAAACCAGCGCCUUACCCGACGGCUCGCUAGUCAUCCAUCCAAACCAAACUAAUGGCAGGUCAAUCAAACAAAGGGAGGAUACAGGAGGCAUAAAUAAUAUCUACCGUGCCUUCGCCAGGGAUUGGACUGAUCGACUAGACACACCAUGCAACAGCUUUACAAAUCCUAGAAAACUUAGCUUCCCGUCAGUGUGCCUUAUCCAAUCAUGUAGAACAGCAUGUACAGGUACAGAAGGGCCGAGGCCUAGUUCCUGCAAUUAAAAUAUGAAAAAGAGGGGAGAUUUCUGAUUAGGAUGCCAACUCCAACACAGAAGCCAAGCAAAUAACCUUCGAAAAAUAAAACAACUAGCACACGGUAUCCGAAAAUAUACGUCAAGCAAAACCAACCAUCCUCAUUUCUCAAACCUUACCACUUGGGAUAAAUGACAACAUUGCCCAACUAUUAGCGUAUGCAACAUUGUGCUUUCUGUAUGUAUUCAUGAUAUAUGUGGUUAAUAUGGAUAUGCAUGCAGACAAAAACAACUAUGUGGGGUCAUAUAAGCAAAAAACCUUAUAUUUCAGAGCUACAGAUUUAAAUUACAUGGCACAACCCUAUGCUGGUCAGUGACAAGCAUGAUGUGCCAACAUAGGCAAACUGACCACCAAAUGGGAACGAAUGCAAGUUCUGCCAGCUCAACACCUCAAUCAACUUUGGACUAGGUAGGUUUCAAGUUUCAACUAAAUCCUGCAACAGUUAUUUAAUGCCUUCAAGAUCUCAACACAUCCAUCAAUUGAUAAUUCAUACUAUAUCACAUGCAAAAGAGAACAUUAUGCAUACCGAGGCAAGUUCUUCGAUUACAAUAGCCCGAUUGCCGUCCUUCUCAAAAAGCUCAUAAGCACAACGGGCAUGUUGCUCCCAUCUAUCCAGACCUUCAAGCUGAUGAACACUUAAUGUAGCUGCACAGAACUCAUCAAAAUCCAUUCUUCUGUAUUGAAGAGCACUGAGCUGGCAAAACAAUAUACAGAUUUCCACAGAGUACACAAACUAAUAAGUUCAAUGUUAAAUAAGUAAAAAAGGCACUAGGCAAAAGAUCUGCACAUUACCGAAAGAAGAAAUUCCUGAACGCGUGAUUCCUUCAUUGCAUCAGUUGCAUUUUUCAUCAAGGCCUGAUCAAGAAAUAAAAUUCAGCAUAAAAGAACAACUAAAUAUCCAAUCUUCUUCAGUUAAUUUCUCUAAAGAAAUGAGUACAUAAAACUAACCAACUUGAUAUUUUCAAGAGUUAUGCACCCAUUUUUGUUAGGCUCUAAUAGAGAAAAUUGUCCCUUGAGAUAAAAUAAUUCAUCUACAGUCAAUGUCUUUGACAAAGCCUGCAACAUUCAUAAAAAGAUUUAAUCAUAUACCUUACAUUAUCAGUUGUAUAGAAGCAAAACUGAAAUUUACAGUGCACUCAAUUGAGGCCGAAACUCAAUUUUACAGAUUUUAGUUAAGAAUUCUAGCAUUUGGGGUCUAUCUUGAAGCUUAAUAUGACGACAGGUAUUGCAAACCUUAAUCGUGAUCAUCAUACAUACCAAUAAUUUUCAAUCUAGUUAACUGGAAAUUGGAUACUUGUUACCUAGAAACCAACACACAAAUAAACAAAACUUCAAACUGGAAAGUAUACUGGAUAACCUUAAAAAGGAAGUCACACUACAUUCGACCAUGGAACUAAACAUCAGCCAAUUCCAAGUACUUGGAUUUUUAUUGAAUGCAACAGGGCAAUUGAAGUCGUUAAAAAGCACUUCAUGCAUUUAGAAUCACAUAUAAGUUGAAUGAUAUAAAUGAAAUUCAUGAUAGCACCCACCCUUAAAGCAGCCUUACGGAGAGAUGACGAACGUAGAUAAGCUUUAAUUAGUCGAAAUAUAAGGAUAUCUAGUGGAACUUUGAUAUCAUUGUAAUUUCUAGUCCACGGAUGACCUGCAAACAGGAAGCAGUUAGUUCUUUGGAGAAACGACAUAAUUAAACAGAAUCCAUGAGGAUGCUCACAUAGAGCUUGAGAAGCCGUCAUUCUUCUUCGUGGAUCCUUACUUAACAAGCGCUUCACAAAAUCUUUGGCCUCGGGGGAGAGAGAAGGCCAAGGAAGUUCUGUAAAACUUGGAUCAGCUUUUAAUACUGCCCUAAAGAUACCAGACUCUGUUCGAGCCCAAAAUGGGCGACUGCCACAUAGAAGAAUAUAUGCAAUUACGCCAAUACUCCACACAUCUGCUUCUGUGCUGUAAGAUCUAUGCAAAACUUCGGGUGCAACAUAAUAUGCACUACCAACAAUGUCAUUCAACCUUUCAUCUAAAGAUCACAAAUGCCAAAUUUUUAGAAACAGUCUAGAUAUAGAGAUUAGACGGGCAAUUGAGAUAUAACUAACAAUUGAAACUGCUAGCCAGGAAACAUAUAACAGACAACAUGAACUAACCUGGUUUUACAAAGUCUGAUAAGCCAAAAUCUAUAGCCUUCAGCUGGGAAUUCUCAUCCUUGGAAGUAAAAAGAAAAUUCUGAGGAAAAGAAAGCAACCACUAUUUAUUAAAAAACACAUUAUUUAGCCAAAUAUUAAAAAAAGAUAAACCAUGACCAUUUAGGGUGAAUAAAACAACCAUAAAUAGACAUCUCAAUAGACCUGCCAGGUAAACAAAAAUUAAAACAAAUUGGUGAGGAAAGUGUAUAUUAAGUCUCACCACAAAUAAGCACAGGUAUCGCAGCAAGGAAGACAGAUAAUAUGUAAACUAAGUAGAAGCUUCAAGUAAAUAAAAAGGCCUGACAAGGAUAUUAGGUAAUUACAGAAUUUAGGUUCCUUUCGUAAUGCCCACAGAAGAUAAAUACAAUAAAAAGGCAACUUGGUUUUACUAUUCCCAAGACACCUGCAAUACAAGCUUUCACGAGGCAAUGUUUUGACCCUAGUUUAAUCAGAUGCAAAUUUCAGCUAGACCUGGAAAAAAUAGAGGUAUAGAUCGUCCAACUUAAGCAAUAGACAAUAGUACCUUGAAAAGGAACUAAUCCGCUAUCAAAAUUGAGAAACCAAUUCUGCUGUGUAAAUUUAGCGGAUACAAAAUUCAAAGCUGAAGGAUAUUAUUCCUAGAUAGUGGUAAUCUCUUGCAGCUAUACUUGUACCACUUUGCUAAUUACUUCUAUCUACAAAUCUAGCUAUCUGCAAGACUGCAACUAACUUAUAUAUAUGCAUUGAAAAAAAAAAUAGUUAGCAGAUACUAGCAAUAUGAACAUUAAAGCAAUAGUAAGUAAUAAAAACACAAUAACCUUUACUACCAAAAAGAAAGCUUGAGAAGAUAGCUCAUCAGAUUACUGUGAAACUCAUAAAGAAUGAUUCAAAGACACCAUGGAAGCAAUAGUCACUCCAGUUACACACAUUAUCAAGAAAAUACAACAAUACAUCAAAAUAAAUGGAAAGAAGAUCUCCUAACUGGCCAUAAUAUUAAGAAAGGUGAGAAAUUUAUUAACCUUCAUGCAAGGUCAAAAAAAAAAAAGUCAUGGCUAGUUAAACUAGAAAUGCUGCAAACUUAAACAACUACAGACAGAAGUUUCAAGUCGUAGAGACAAAAAAAAAAAAAGACAUGAAGUACAUUAUUACUAGGGUACACAGAAAAAGUGCUUGUUAACCAUCUAAUUCAUGUUCCUUUAAUCAAUAACCACACAUCCCUAACCCUAAAAAGAACAUUAUUACAGUUCCACAGAAAGCUAACACAGAGCAGAUCUGAGACUCAUAAUAAGAUCCAAAAAGUCCUGUGCCUUCAAGUAUAAUGUCCAUCGACAAUAUAAUCAUAUAAUAAUCUACCUAAAAAUCACCAUCAAAGGCCAUAAGAUUUCCCUGACUCAUUACCUCCGGUUUAAGAUCACGGUGAACCACUCCUUGGAGAUGGCAGAAUGCAACAACAUUCAGUAUCUGUACCAUGACAGCCUUUGCAUCAUCUUCCGAGUAUUUUCCACCCCUUCUCGAUAAAGAAGGCAUAUACAUAAGCUAUCAUAAGAUCUGAGGCAAAGCCGAAAACAAUACAUCUACAAACAAAUAGCAAAUAUGUGGAUAUAGGAAUAUUUUAAAUCAAACUGGCCCAUAAAGUACCUCGAAAGAAUUCUAUCUAGCAGCUCUCCUCCUUCGCAUAACCUGAAAUAAGAUAGGUAAGCCACCAAGAUCCUUAAUCAGUAAUAAUUUAAUGGUUAUAAUUACAUUUAAAGAUGGCAUUUAUAUGUCACAUGCUUGUCCAACCAAACAAUACUACUACAGAUCAACAUGGUGCAGAAUACGAGCAAAGGAGAACGUCUAUGAGAAACUAGGGGCAGCACCAACAAGAACCUAAAGAAAGAAUACAUUUUUAAUCCAACAGACCUCAAUUUCAACCCUCAAUUUUAACAAAUCGUGCUGCUAGAGAGAAAAAUUUAACAAGAAAUUCUUGUGCAAGAAGAGUGAGAAACAAUUGCUAAAUAAUUUUAGUCUUCAAAAACGUACUAUGAUACUAUGAUGCUGAAAUUAACCAAUAAAGGAGCAUCAAACCACAGUAAAAGCAUAGUUCCAAAAUACUAUUAUAGCAUCAACAUACCAGUGGGUACCUUUAAACUUUUAUUAGGUUUUUGUAUAUUUUAAUGUGAGUUCAAGAAGAAUCCACAAAAAUGGACAGUUCCACUUGCUUGUCACAUGUGUUGAACAUAUCACAUUAUAGAAAAAUAUUAAAUAGUAAAUACUUCCUUAAAGUAUCCAGUUUGUUGAUUUAGAGGGAGUACUUUGUAAAUUCCUCUGGAGGAAACUUUGAAUGUCUAAAAUAUUGAUUUUUUGCUUACGAUACAGAUGAUAGAUAUUUACAUAUUAUUUGUAUAAAGCAUUAGAAAAUGAUUAAAUAAAAUUAUGGCCUUACUUCAUUUAUCAUAACAUUUUGCUAUCUCUUAUAUGAUUUUUUUCUAUUCGUGAAGAGAGUUUAGGGAUGCUAAUGUUAUUAUUUACAUAAUAUGUGACUCCAUUCUAGCAUUAUUAAUGAAUAUCAAACUGCCACAUAUACAAGAUCAUAUAUUUAAAAAAACUAUCACCAUAUCCAUGCAUCAUUGUGUCCCUUUUUUAAAGGUUUGACAUAUCAACAUAUCCAAACCUAUUGUAUCAGCAUCCAUAUCUGAUUACUUGCUUCACAACAGAAAUUUUCUUAUUAAUAUUUAACAAAAGAUGGAUAGCAUAUGCAUUUUGGGAUUUCCAACAUGUAUAUGCAAAUAGGGAUCAAGCUGAAGAUCACAUUGAAUUCAGAAACUGCAUAUGAAUAAAAUAUAGAAAAUCUUGGAACUAUCUACUUUUGAAAAAGGAAACAAGAUUCAAACUGACUGGUUCACCACUUGUGAUCAUAUUCACAUUAAUAACAAAUAUUAAAAUAGCAAUCACUAUAUACCAGCAGAAAAUAACAUGCACUUGAUAGAUAACAAUAAACUGUAAUAUUAAUGUACUAAUAGCUUACUCCAUUAUUAUGUAAACAUUGUCAUUAUCUUCAUAGGCAUCAUAAAAAUGGACUAGGUUGUUAUGCCCUGUCAAGGCUCUUAAAAUCUUCACCUCUCUUCUGACAUCCUCAAUAGCUAUGGCAGUAGUCAUCUGUCAAAAGUAAAGUGCUAAAAUGAAGUCCAAAUAUAGAAAAAUUUUGUUACAACAAAGCAAAGAGGCCAGCAAGCUGCACUGUCUGAUUUACAACCAGAAGUGCAUCACAUGCAGACUAACAGUGAUAAAAAAUAUCCACGACAAGUAUGAAGAAAGAAAUAAAAGAUGUCAAAGAAGGAAAUUAUAAAACUAGAAAUGCACCUGAAUAAAGUAAUAAGGCCUCAGUUUUGUGCAAAGCGCCAAAAUGUUAUUUUACUUCCAACUAUGAUUAAUAAUGAACAAUACAUUUAUGCUAAGAUGGCAUUAUGUUUACUGCAUUUGAAAUUAACAAUACAACUUAGUGACAACGUAAAAGAGAGCAACCUAAAAGGGGCAACUGAACCAUAUAGUUUUGCUUUAAUGGAAGUUACAGCAAAGCCUAAGCUAUUGAUUGGAUUUUGUAAACUACAAAUUGGGCUUUUGUUGAUUUACAUGCAUAUAGAAAAUAUUUAACAUCAAGAAUCAGUUUUGAACUAGUCCUUACCAAAUUUUAUCAGUCAAGCAAACAAGACUGCAGGUGCACAUAAGACAACAAAAUAAGCAUGACCGGCCUAGAAAAUAGUAUACUUCAGGUCCCCUAUCCAGUUCAAUACUAAUUAUCAACUAAAUGAAGUAUGGAACAAGUUCAGCAACUUUAAAAUCAUAAAGAUCCUACUUGAAAAUGUAUGAUUCAGAUGCACCGCAUCGAAUAAAAUGCUAGGGCAUCUUUCUGUGUAGAAUCAAUAAAUAUAUUUAUAGCCACACUAAUCAAGUCAAUGUGGCAGUGCAACAUUAACUAAAGUGUCCACAUUUUCCAUGGAAGAAGAAAUAUAGGGAGUAUAUCAGUAAACAUAAACAUUUUAUCUAUAAUUUCAGGUUUCUUUUCACCAAAAGGUCAAGCGGUUUGAGUUGUCCAAGAUCCUGGAAAGAAUACAAUUCAUGAAGCCCUGCUACUCAAUUGGCAACCAUCAUAAAUAAACACUGAUCUCCCUUCAUGCUAAAUCUAGAACAUCCCAAUCUAGUGAAACCCAAGGAAAAUCCAAUAACUUUCUUGAUUCCAGCCCAUAAACAUUCACACACGACUGGGCAUCAAAGCUACAUGACAAGUUACUGUUUUGAGCUUCAAGUAGUCAUUCACUUCUCGAUAACAACAACAAUAAUUAUCAAUCACAAUGGACCAUUAACAAAAUUAUGCUUCCUUAGCGCCUGGGAGGGUAUCUUUGUCUUUGCCCAAGAAGUUGCAAUCUUUUUUAAAGAAACAGAGCACAUCCCAUAUCAAUUGUUUCAAAAAUCAGUAUUUGAUGGCAUCCACCAGUACUUUUAGAAGGGAAAAAGAGAAACUAGCAAUACUAACAAAAUUGAUAUGCUGUGGAGCAAACCACUUAUCCAGCAGCAUGCUACAAGACACAGCAUUACCAACAAAUUUUAAGCAGCUAAUGAUGCAUUACUUUGACUAAAAUUAGUCGUCGGAUCUGACUGUCAACGGAACUGUCCACAAGAAAACAUCAACGAAGCAAAGUUGGCAAGUACGAAGCGACAAAGUAGGGGAAAUCUUGCAAAAAGAAUAGAUUUUUGCUGCACCUUAGCCUUCGGGAUGACCUUGACCGCCACCUGCUGCCCGUUGCUCUCGCCCUUCUUGAGCUUGGCGGUGCACGUAUACCCAAAAUGCCCACGCCCAACCUCCUCACCGAUCUCAUACUUGCUCGUGAACCCCUUAGAGAACCCGAAGCUCUUAUCCAGCCCGGCCACUGCACGCCCCUCCUCCCCCUCGUCCUCGGGAAUGGCCGCCUCGUUUGGCUUCACCGACCCAUGCCGCCGGGCGAGGAGGGCCCGGAUGUGCUUCGCCGGAGACGGCGGCGGGAACGGUCUCUUGAAGAACCUCCUCGGAGUGGCCGUAGCCGACCCACCACCUUCAGAGGCGACGGAGGGGGAUUUCUUGGAGAAGAGGCUGUGGGCAGGACUGGGGCUAUAGAAAGGGAAGAAAGGGGAGGUCCAGGGCUUAGAUGUCCUCUCCUCCGCAACCGUCACCCCCGGCUCCCCCUCACCUUCCUUCUUUGUCGACACUUCUUCCUUCUUCUUGGGCGUCGGAGACAACGAUGGGUCAUGGUUCUCCGGCGAAGCGAGCUUCCCGUAGCAAAUACCCAUCUUUUACUUCAGUCUUAGCUCGGAGAUCCAGGAAGAAGAGGAAAAGAGGAACGAUUUUCAAACCCUAGAUCGCCAAUGGCGUCCUCAUAACUCUCACACACACACACACUCUCUCUCUCUCUCUCCCUCGGAGGUUUGCUUCUCUGCCUUUUGUAUCGCUCCCUACUUGGAGCCCAGCAGUAAAGCUGGAUAGGUUACUGUAAAAUUGUGGUAACGAAUGGGUGUUUAAGGAAAGAAAUAAUAAGGUUCCAACACCGCCGGUGAACAACUUGUGCCCAUACAAAUGCAACUCCCUGUGGUCUUACGCUACUCAAAACUAUGGACAUUAGUGUGUCUAUCAAUGUGCCUUUUUAUGAACUACAAAAUAGACAUUUGGGCAUGACAUAGUUUUCAUGUCAUGCAUUCUCCAAAACAAAAGAGCUUCCGCUACAUCAUGCGUGCCAUCAUGGAGAACGUGAUGGCCAUAAAGGAGCAUGACAUGUACCGUAUACGUAGAGAUGCUGGUGGCACAUAGGAUCCCAUCAUGUGUAAAUACUUACGCAGUUACGCUCACCUCCUCGCCGCAGGUGACCGGAUCUCUUUCUAAGUAAAAGCUGGUACCCGUUAAAAGUACGAAAACAACAGCAGGAAUGCUUUCCGCACCCCGUAAAAAUCUACCCGCGCGAUCUCUCUGUGAUGUGGGUCCAAAACGGACCGACGUUUGCGUUAAUCACCAGAACGGCUAUCGAUACGGGUAGAGAAAAAGGGUCGAAAAAGAAUUCCUCGAACGACGCUGCGUAGCGGGGAUCGCGUCCACGGAGGGCCGAAACAGACGACGGCGCAGUAAUCGGAGACGUCGACACGCGUGACUGUUCACCAGCAUGUUUUCGAUGCUCCCCCUUCACAAACUGUCGUCCGGAUAAGCUAUUGGGUGAACGAGGGUGGAGAAACGUGGCCGCAUAAGAGUGGUGGUUUACUAAAAGGAUCUGUUUAGUUAAGGAGUUCCGCCGGAGCGUCGUGUCUUUGUAGCCGUAGCGGUGGUUAAGCGAAUUAAAUUCUUUUCAGCUCGUUGGAUUUUGUAGCCGGCGCGCACGUAUUUAUAGAGAGCGGUAUGCUCUUCCGCCGGACCAUUAUAAAGUUCCCUAGUAACAAUAUUUUCCACUGCUUUUGGGGGCAAAUUUUUGUAUGUUUUUCCUCCAAAUUUAAUUAUUGUUUUGAAUAUGUGAAGAAACUUUGGGAUUUGAAUCCUUCUACCAAAUGGGGCAAAAGAGUUCAAAAGAUUCAUGGUACCACAAGGGUUGACAUAUUCUGAUGUUGAGGGUACCACAUAAUUAAGUAGUGGGUGGUAAGAAUGAUAAAGAGUUUGGGUCUUUCACAAGAGUGGAAGUGAGUGCAUUUAAUAAUGGAGAGGGGAGACUACUGUGGGAAUAUUACAGCACAAGGGGGAAGGUGGUGUGGAGUUCCACUAGCAGUUGGGUGAUUCAAUACUUCUGGUCCAUCGUCAAUUUGGCAUUUCUCUGUCACUGUGAUGUAGAUGUUGUUUUCUAAGGUGAUCAUGUGCAGGUCGAGGACAGUUCAUGGGCAAUAAUGUAAGGGAGUGGUUUGUUCUCUUCCUUGAGGACCAUCUUGUCUGCUACUGUCCAAAGUGAGUUAUGAGAUCUGAGAUGAUUAACGAGGGGAUAAGUUGGAGUUUGAUAUCUGAUUUCUUCAUUUAGGUGGUUGGGGAGGAUUCUAUUCUGAGAUCUGUCAGCCAACACACCACAAGGAUAUGGUUUGAUUAUAAAAACAAGGUUUGGUGAUCGAAGUUGUCAGUCAAUGAUCUUCCAUUCCUUUUGUUUUUUUUGUUCUUGCACAAGUGUUUCUACAAAUCAGACUUGUAAGACAAUAAAUCAUGAUUCUGAGCUUCAAAAGCAUCAGCUCACCAUCUGUUCUAGGAUUUCUGAACAAACUAAAUGCCUCUCUCUCAACAUCUGUAUGAGAAAGAACUUGAUCUUACUGAUUAAAGUUCUGAGUGAUUGUGAACAGUUCAUUUGUUAUGGAAGCAAAAAGAAUGUGAAUUGGUGGAUCGAAGAAGGUGAUUAAAGGGCUCCAAAUUAAAAAUGCUUUUUUGAUCUCUCUCUCUCUCUCUCUCUCAUGGAUAUCAGAAUGUUAAUUGCAGAAUAGUGCACACAUAGUUACAUCAUCUCUAUUGCAGAAUUCUAAUGAGUUUGGAGUUGAGCUGAAACUUUCAGAACUAAUUCUAUUUGAGAAUCUUGGUCGGAGAAGACCUUAAUUUAAUCCGGGAUGCGAUAAAAAGGCUUAGGCAAUCUAUCACUGCUGCUUACGACCUGAGGAAGAAGUGCAGUUGACAAAGAUGAUGAAGGCAGAAGACUGGGGAUCAUUCUCUGGGGGGAGAGAAGCAGCAGAUCUCUGCACGCAACACUCCUUUUCAGAGCAAUGAUCAAGUCGGUGUUACUUGAUGGCAUCCACGGGUUGACUUCUCAACUAGGCUUGGCAAUCGAUGGACAUCAUGAUCAAAGCUCCAGUACUUGUUGACCAAUGCAUCUGAAUUGACCAGAAAGUCAACUUGAUGAACCUGAAACACAGCAAUGGUGGCACUCUAAUCAUAUAUGAACAUCACUUCUUGAUGGCUACUACUCCGAUAAAUUUAGAGGCUAGCCAGUUCAGUGAAUGAUGAAUCUGCACAGUCGAUAGGGAGGAUGAAUCAGUUCUCUAUCAGAGGAAAAAGAAGUCAACCAAGCAAUCAUCGUAGCAACAUCCAACAUGGGUGAUUUCAAACGCGGCUCAGCUUCCUUUGAAUCCAAAAAGGUAGUCAAAGGAUGUGGAGGAAUAUGUAGGAUGGCUGGGAGGCAAUUGCUGGUGAUUCCCUCACUCGCCACCACCGAGACAAUGGAGCAGAGCUUGAUGAUGAGUGCUGUUGGGUGGGUUCUCCACUGCAAAUUCUGUGAUCAUUAUGCUGUAAGCUUGUCUCAUAGAGCAGUGUUACGAGACCAAGCAAUCAUUUCAUCUGAUUCCUGAAGGCAAUUCUGGAGAGAUGAUCACAGGACAAAUGCUCAUCCCUUUUUCUCCCGGGAGUACAACUACUCAGUCCAUGAUUUCGGCAAGUCUUUGACUGAUGGAUUUGAUAUUUGUUUCUAGCUAAAAAGGCUUUCUUGGCCCCAUACACUGUAUAAUUAAGGCUAACAAGUGUUUCUAUGUCUCUGUCUUUUGUUGUGGAUCUAUGAAGUCACAAUCAACUACAAUAGGAUCUUUAGUUCAUGAGUUCAUUCAUUUUCAUACUUUCGAGAAAAAAAAAUCAUGAGUUUCUUCCAUUCAAUCUUUUUGGAUAAAUUUCUUGUAUAUAUAAAAUAUAAAUUUAUUGAAACAUCCUAAUUGUUAAAAUUAAAUUAUAAAAUAUAAUUAUUAAUUUUAAUAAUUUAGAUCAAAUAAAAUUAAAAUAUUUUGAUAUUAGUUAGUCUAUCAAAUUAAAAUAAUGAUAUUUGAUAUUAGAGCCGUCAAAUUAUACCUCAUAUGUAUUAUGUUAAAGCUCGAUAAUAUUUUGAUUAAUGACUUAACUCAAAUAAAGCUAUAUAUAACUAGAAGAUUAAUAACAAUAGAUGUAACAAUGUAAUAGAUUUUGGGAUCAAAAAUAGAUUUUGGGAUACUCUCUUUCCCCCACACUGUUUAGAAAUCCUUUACCUCAGAAUACUUAUCUGUUUUAUAUAAUAUUAGGAUCAAUAAGUGUUUUUUUUUGUUUUAUUAUUGUCUGUAAUGUUUUCAACAAAAGCAAAUAAAAUUCAAGUAUAAAAAGACUUCUACCUAAAAAAAAGGAAAAUCUUAAAUAUUAAAUUUUAAUUAUUUUAUAAAUAUAUCAUUUAUCUCUAAAUAUUGAUGAGAAAGAUAUUGGAAUAUUAAUUAGAGAGGAUAAAAAUAAUAUAAAAAUAAUUAAUUCGGAUUUACCUUGUUUUAAGUUUUAAAUUUAUCUUUUUCCAAAGAUAGUGAGGAAGAAGCAACCAUCAUAUUCCGAAGAACUAGAAAUUUCAUACCCGACCCGCAAAUCGAAUACCCGAUCCACGAAGAAAAGCACACAAGGUGACAAGUGACGUCGGGAGUCGGAACGUUGGAAGUCCCGUCGCAGAAGGAUCAGAUGGUGAUCGUCGUCCACGAAAUGAUGUCAAUAGUUACUCCUCGUGACCGGUGAAUUCGAUUCUACGGUCCAACCAGCGGGGCCCGUCGAUCAUUUAUGACGUGGCAUCUUUUGAGAUGGUCAAGUAUUUCCAUUAUACAGUAGAUUCAACACCCGAUCCGUCGGGUUUAAAAAGACAAAAUAGACCCUAACAAAUUGGCUUCUCGCCGUAAAGCUCUAUAGCGCCGGUCCUGUGUUCGGCAGUUCAGCACCACCACCACCGCCACCGGAGAUCGCUUGGAGUUCGCAAAUGGGCAUCGACGGCCACGGCGGCGGAAGAGGAGGAAGCGGUUCGCGGUGGCUAGAGAUCGCCGAGAGGCUUCUCGGUGCUCGGGACCUCGUCGGUAGCAAGCGGUUCGCGGAGCGCGCCAUGGAGGCGGAGCCCCUCCUCGACGGCGUCGAUCAGGUCCUCGCCGUCGCCGACGUUCUCCUGGCCGGCCAGCGCCGCAUCAACAACCACGUCGACUGGUACGCCGUCCUCCAGCUCCUGCCCCCCUCUGCCUCCUCCGAUGGCUCCGAUGCCGCGGACAUCAGGCGUCAGUACCGCCGCCUUGCUCUCCUUCUCCACCACGACCGCAACAGGUCUCCUGGCGCCGACGCCGCGUUCAGACUCGUAGCCGACGCCUUCGCCGUCCUCUCCAACCCUGACAAGAAGAGCCUCUUCGACGCCGAGAUUCGCAUUGCUGCCGCUGCCGCCGCCGCAGCCGCCUCCAAGCCUUCCCCCUCUCCGUCCCCAGUCACCGCUGAACCCUUCUGGACGAAAUGCCCCACCUGCUGCAACGUGCACAUGUUCGCCGGGGAGUACCUGAACCUCUCCCUUCGCUGCUCCACUUGCCGCCAGCCGUUUCUCGCCACCGAGUUAUCUUCCCCGCCCCCUGUCGUCCCUGGGACCGACAUGUACUACUGCUCCUGGGGUUUCUUCCCUCUGGGGUUCCCUGGAGGUCCGUGCUUCUACGGCGGUGGUGGCAUUGCUCCUUCCGAUCUUGAUAGCGAAUGGAAACCGUUCUACCCGAUGUUUCCCAACUGGGGUAACAACACCAACCCGCAGCCGCCCCAUCAGCAGCCGGGAGCAUCCAUGCAUCCGCCGGACCGGCAGCGGGAUUGGCAGAACAAUGGGAAGAAGGAAAAUAUUAAUGAGCCACAGUGGGCGAUGCCAGCCAUGAACAAGAAGACUAUGGCAGAGAAGAAGGUCGAGGUAGGCCUAAAGAAGAGACCUUUGGGUGGUAGGAACAGUGGAAAGGGGACGGGAAGCAGUGGGAUAAGUAUCUCUGGUCCUGUGGCACGGUUAGGAAGUGGAAUGAAGCCUAUUAAUCUUGAAGCAGUAGACGUAAAAGAAGCAGAAGAGGAGGAAGAGGUUGUUAGAGGAAUCAAUAUCAACGAAGAAUACAAGAGCUUAGAUGGCGUCCAUGAAGAUUCUAAUGACUCAUUGAGCUUUCAUAUAGAUGUGGAUGCUACUAAUGACAUUCUGGGCAAUCUGCACAACCUUCCAUUCCUAAAGGAAGAUGAUAUUCCGUUGCGGACGCCAUAGUGUUGUAAUUGUUGUUACAUGAGAAGGAUGAAGAAAGUAUUGUGCAGCCAUUAACAUAUCAAUGUGGGUUUAGCACUGUUGUAGUGGAGACUGAUCCUUAACUAUCUUUCAGACUGUAUGUUUUGCUAGUAUGUAAUUUCCUUCUCUCAUGUUACUGGAUCAUGAUGGUAGUUUUGCGAUACUUUUUAACUUGUAUGGAUUUCUCGUGAAGUCUUGAAAUCAGGCUUUACUGCUUAGCUGGGCCAGAGAAAUUAAUUAUCCAUGAUGUUUCAGCACUGAGGAGGCUCCAUGUAAGAGACCCAGCUCAUGUUGACAACCUCAGCUGGUAACCAGUGUAAUGAGAUGGGGAAUCAAUGUGAGUAUCAUUUAUGGUCCAAUCACUAUCUAAAAGUUUGUGUUUGGAAAUCUAUGUUUUCUUCUUGAUGACCAUAGUGGUUCCUUAUAACUGUCUGUCGACUCGUAGCUUUGUAGCUAACACAUUUGACAUACUGAUCACUGGUAUACAUUGUUUUGUUUGGGCAUAAACACCACUUCAUCAAGAUGGAAAUUGUUAUGAAGGUUAGUACUUUAUCCUAUUAUCAGGUAGGUUUCGGGUUAUGAUCAACAUGUAAGAGAUCCAGCUCAUGUUGACAACCUCAGCUGGUAACCAGUGUAAUGAGAUGGGGAAUCAAUGUGAGUAUCAUUUAUGGUCCAAUCACUAUCUAAAAGUUUGUGUUUGGAAAUCUAUGUUUUCUUCUCGAUGACCAUAGUGGUUCCUUAUAACUGUCUGUCGACUCAUAGCUUUGUAGCUAACACAUUUGACAUACUGAUCACUGGUAUACAUUGUUUUGUUUGGGCAUAAACACCACUUCAUCAAGAUGGAAAUUGUUAUGAAGGUUAGUACUCUAUCCUAUUACCAGGUAGGUUUCGGGUUAUGAUCAACUGAAUGUCUUCUACUGUUGCUUCGACAAUAAAUUUGAUUCCAAGUGUUUUCUGUUCUUCCUUGUGCUUGGAUCAUAGUAGGAACUUGGAAGCAUUCUUGAAUAUACUCUGUGUUUAAUUGUCAAUUUUCUGACAUUAUCAAAAUUGGCUUUUAGGAGGCCUCCUGCCAAUAUACACGGGAAUCAUUGUGUGUAAGUUGUCGCCAAAACUUCUGCACAAUUUGGAUGCACCAGCUCAUAUAGAGAUGAAGAUGAUGCAUCUCAUGGAGCUAUUUCUAGCAUAUUUAUAGUAGACUAGGGGACUAACUUUACAGAUUUGAACAGAAGGCUUUAUGAAAAUUUCUUGUCAGGAUCAUGAAACAUAAUAAGUAAAUCAUGUGCUUCUUGUUGUUAAUUUUAUGCAGUUCAACUUAUCAUGUUUGCCGGUGUAGACAUGUAAUUGACUAGCUUUUAGAAACAAGGCUCUGCUCCAACUCCCCGUUUAUGAUAAAGUGGUUCUGCAGUGUUGUAUUGCCUUAUUUAAUGGGUCUAUCAUGAAAGAAAAAGAGGGAAAAAAAAAAGUGAAGAUAGAUAUGUGGAAGUUUUAGCUUAUGGUUUAGUAUUUCUUUGGUCUAUAGACAAUUAAAUUCAUGUAAAGCUUUAUUUUUAGAAAUUUCGACAAUAAAUCUGGAUUCAAAUAAACGAUUAUGGUUUACAUUAUAGUCUGGCACGGGAGUGUCUAAUUUGCUACAAUUUGUUCAUAUGGAUCAUGCUGAUAAUACGAUAUUUUUUUCAACCAACAAUAUUGCCUCAUAAUCUUCAACUCAGCCUACUCAGAUAAGACAGCUCAUCAGCAUAUUUCCUACACAAAGGUAAAAUUGUAUCAUGGUACUUUUCUUCAUGGCUAAGGAAUACAUUGAUGGAGUUGGUUGGCAGUUAUAAAACACUUAAUUUCGAAAUUCCCUAUGCAUGAAGGGUUGUUUCACGCAUUAGUAUUUAUUUUGGUGUUUAAGGCUUAAGAAGGACUUUAGAAAACUGAUGAUAUUGGCAGAAGCUCUCUUGGAGUGCUUUUUUGAACUCUGUAUCUCUUGGAUGCGUCCUUGAGUGGUGAGUAUUUUGCUUUCAGUUCUAUAUCAUUGUUUAUUAUCAUUAGGGUGGUGAUCUUUCCGUAUCCCUUUUGAUUUUAAACUUGAUGAUGAGCUAUUUUUCGUUUUUAUCAAAGUUUCUUCAAGAGUUCGUUCCUUACCUUCUGUGAUAUUUUCUAUCUGAACAAUUGUUCUAUCGGUGUUCUUUCGAAAUCCAUUCUGUAUUUUUAUCCUCCCGGUAUCAUAGUCUCUAAGAUAAUUAAUGGAAUAAUUAAUUGAGAAAGCAGUGGUAAUAUUGGUCCUGCAACUUUUGGUUAAAUUUAGUGCGACUAGAUGCAUGAGCAGCAAACUUUUCAAGAUCCCAAGAUCCAUAAUGAGAGAUUCAUGGUCUGAAUGGUUGUGCAAAGGGAGAUGUAAAAUGGUAGCUUACAUGGAUAUUACUUGCCCAAUUUUAAUCAUAUGGAUGAGCCUUCUUUUCCUCAAAAAUUUGGAAUCUUUUAGAGAUCUGAUGGAUUCAAUUGCAUACUUUCUGAAGGCACUCUUUACAUCUCCCUUUGCACCACCAUUUCUGAAGACACUCUUUCUAAGAUGGUAGCUUGCAUGGAUCUUACUUGCUCAAUUUUAAUCAUAUAGAUGAGCCUUCUUUUCCUAAAAAAUCUGGAAUCUUUUAGAGAUCUGAUGGAUUCAAUUGCAUACCUUCUGAAGAUACUCUUUUGCUGCAUAUCAUAGUGAAAGGAAUUUUGAUACAGCAAGCAUUACUUCUUGGGGUAUUUACUUUGUUCCUUCAGAUUUUGGACUGUCAGGAAGAAGUUUACUUGAGUAUUCACUGUAGUUUUUUACUUAGUUCCUAAUACUGUAUAUUGUAAAGUAUAGAAUCAGUCUCUACUACUACUAAUUGUCAGAAAUCAAAGAGGCAGAGCCUCCAUCAUACAAACAGUACUGCUCUCUGUUCUUGUCCCCAACCCUGUCAUCCACAACACCAUCUACCUUUCCAACUUGCAGCUUCAGAGGAAUGCAUUGAGUAUAUAUUCUCCAACUUCUCUAUCUUCUUGAAUCUUAGAUUGGACAUUAAGAGAUUUAAGUUGUAAUUAUGAUAAAUCCGUUGCAAUCAAUGCAGAUACAUGCUGGUGACUUGAAGCAUAUCAUUAGCGUUUACUGUCACUAUAUAUUAGCCAAAGUGAUCUGUUUAAUUACCCUUAGUUUCGAGCUUAUAAAGUGGAGGCAUAAGAUCUUUUGGUGUUUAACGGUGUCAUUAGAUAAAGCUUUGUCCAUGUGGAACCGGGGGGUCCACGUGGGGCCAUCCCUUACCCCACCGCUCUGCGUGGACCCACUGUUUUGAGACCCAUCUUUCCGUAAAAUAUACAAGCUCGGGUUCGGAUCUAGAUCGGUCUCCCACCCGUGCGGACUUACCCGUUAGGUUAUUUUAUGUGGUGGACUUUUCGUGGUCCAGCGAUCGGCCGAGUCGAAGUCGAGGCGAGGCGAGAAGAAGCGCGAACACCGAGAUCUGUGGUUCGCAGAGGGAGGAAGCGAAGGCGAAGGUGAGACUCUAGGGUUUCGUCGAUCGUUCGAACGUUAUGUUUCAUCAUCUGCUUUUGCAACCUCAGAUCGAUUUGAUUUCAUAACAAUCGAUAAUAGGAUGCUUCUUUUCGCGGGAUCGCUUAUUUUUGUGAUUUCUUUUGAUCUGUUUUCUAGAUGCAUCGUUAUACAUAUAUGAUGUUUUGAUCUGCGUGAAACCCCCAUGUUCUGCCGCUCGCACCUCGAUAUCGGUGGUGAUCUGUUGAUCUAGCCGUAAAUGUGAUGGAAUUAGGUCGCCCCUGCCGAUCCCAGCCUAGAUCGGCUGGAUUGUUAGGGGAUCAAACUGAAUGGUGUGCCUGUAACGAGUACUACUAGUUGUUGAAUACUGCUGGAUUAGUGUCAGAUACUUUGUUCAAGUAAUUUGUGGUAACAGCUAAUCCAAUGUUUGUUGGGCAUUGUACAUAUUGAAGGGUAAAUCUUUUUAUAUGGACCAUAUUGUUUACUAUUGUAUGGAGAAUAACAUUGUUGUGAAUAUAUAUCUACUAACACAUUUCAUCUUUUCGCUUGAUUUACAUAAAUAUCCGUAAGAUUAGAUAUCCAUAUCAUGUAAUAUUAAUAUCCCAUGUCGGUAUCUCCAUGGUUGCUCAUCCAUGUGGGUAUUUUUCUAUGUUCUUCAUCCUAUGAAAAGAUCUACAAGCAGCAAAGUUUGGAAAGCAAGAUAAUGUCUUCAAAUAGGGAAUACUAGAACUUAUGAUGAACUUAUUUUUUGUGUUAAUCAGUGUAUUCAUAUUGAUCAUUAUAUUUAGAACAGAAGUGCUGGUUAAUCAAAACUAAAAACCCUUUUUUUGACUGUAUUUUAUGCUUAAUUUUCUUUUAUUAUAUGUAUUAUGUUUAAUUCUAGCAAGUUAAGUGAAUGACUGGGUGAUUGUUAUGAAACAUAAGAAACCAUUCUAAACCUCAGGAUCAAAAUGUUAUCUUUAGGAGCAGUAGACCUUAGGCAUGAAGUGAAACUUUGGUUCCACGGAAUUCCGCACAAGGGCAAUUGUGGAUCGCAUUCUUGAAAACCUCAUGAAUGAUACCUUGAUUGAAAAAUUAUGUUGUGGAAAGAUAGGCGCCUAACAAUUGAGGGUGUGUCAGUGAGAUGAAGCUAAUGCAGCUGAUAAUAUUUUUUAUUGCUCAAAGUAAAUUACAGAUGGCUGCCUGUUGCACUCCUUAUAAAAUAAUUUGACUCUCAGUAGAAUUUCCAUAUAUCAUAUCUAUGGGUAAUGUAGCAAUGUAGCUAAAAUUCUCUUUUACCUUCUCCAGGCAUGUUCAGAUUUAGUUCUUCAACAAAAUCAAAUUUAGAUUAUAAUACUUGCACCUUCUUGGUUUUGUCAGCCGACAACGUUUGGGUUAACCGAGGUAGAGCCACACAGGGGACUGUGGUCAUUCUAAAAGUCUUUCCAAUCACUGCUUAACCUAACAAAUGCAGGAUUAAAGAUUGUCUUAUUUCACUAAACCUGGCUCAUAUACUGAAAAGGAAGGAAGAGGUUAUAAACUUGACUCAAGUAGCACAAUAACAAAAACCACUAAACAUAGUGGACCAAAAAAAUUAUCUAUUUGGUCUCAGUUAUGGGCCUUGCUUCUUGUUGAACCAGAUUUGGGUGGAAUAUACUCUGGAUAUUGUAAUCAGCAUUCAUAAGGCUAAUUGUAAUUUAAUCUCGUUAAAUUCUUCAUGAAAUUGGUCCAACAUUUUUAUGCAGAUUUCAACUUAGAAACAUGGGUUUGCAUGAGAUCAAUAGUGCCCUUAGGAAAGCUGUUACUAAAUUGGGCUCAUAGCUGUUUUAUCUCUCCUCUGAUGCUUUUAUUCAACGAUUUGUGUUCGUACAAAAAUGUUUACAAUGUUUAGUAUGCCAAAUUCAGUUAGGCUUUUGGUUCAGAAUCUUCUUUGAAACAAAGAGAACUAAAGUAAUUGUAUCAAUAUUUUUAUUAAGAAAUUAAUGUUGCAUCAUAGAGAAUUGACCUUUGUGCAGUGACCAUGUUGCUUCAUAUCUCCUAAACUCAUAGGUCUGAAUCAAGAGAGGAAUUUCUGCUUUUGGGCGUGUGCAUGUCAUUUCACUGGGUUGCCUUUGUAUUUUUUUUGGCAUUUUCUGUCCCUGAAGUAGAACAUUCUGACUCACCAUGCCAUGGAGCAGGUUAAACAAGAUAUACAUAAACAAUAAUCAAGCUGGAUUUUCUGCAAUUUGUCUUCCAUUUCUGUGUGGAAUUCACAUUAGUUGCUUAAACAUGUACAUGUACAGAUACUGUUUGAUCUUUAUUACUGUGACUGGUAUAGGUUUAUUUUAAACAUUAGUAGACAGAACUUCUACUCCUGCCUUGAUCGAUUGUUUUGACCAAGCUAUCUAAUUCACAUUAAGGGAACUGCAAAAAAGAUAAGAAAAGGUAGCAUGACGUUGCAUCGGUCAUCACAUCGAUGGAAAAAAUGCUAUAUCUGCUUGAUUUUAAACCAAGCAUCCUUUCUGGAGAUGCAGAUGGGAACAAAGCAACUUUUGUGGAUUUAUGUUCAAAUCUUUUGAUUUUGGUCUCAAUGGCAGACUAAUAAAGUCAAUGCAUAUGAUUGUGGUCAAAACUUGUUUAUUGUGUCAUAACUUUCUCUAAUUUUGUUCACCGAAGAAAAAAAUAAUUUGAUGUUCAUAUCAUGCUUACCAACUGGGUAUAGAUUUGACCUUUGUGUUUGCUUUUUCUUGCAGAUGAUCGACGAUCAAGACUUGGGAUUCUUUGCUAAUUUUCUUGGCAUAUUUAUCUUCAUUUUGGUAAUUGCUUAUCAUUAUGUGAUGGCAGACCCAAAGUACGAAGGUAACUAAUGCUUGAGAUAGUGGCUUUGUGGGCAGGAAAUAUGACUUUUAUGGAUCAUGCCUGAAUGAGUCUUCAUGGUUUCUAUUGCUACUCGGGUAUAUAGAAGAACUUUUAUGCCAGAAACUUGUAAGAACUAUACAAUUGCUUCACAAAUGAGAAACUUUCAGCUUUGAACUUCAUCAUUGCCCCUUUUGAUGAAUAUAUAGCAUGACCCGAAAUAAUUGAUCAUUUUGCUCGAUUGAUUUAGGCAAAUCUUUCUUCACCUAUUAUUGCUCCAUGUGCUUCAUGAUCUACAACACCCAACCAUUCUACUGGUGCAGGACUCGUUGGACAAGGUACCAAUUAAGCCUGGUUUGUUGACCCCAAUCCGAUCACUUAGCAUACCCAUGGUUUUUGUCUAUCUGGUGGUAAUACAUGAUCAUGAAUGCAUCUUUCUUUAUAUUGAUUAGGUUACAGCACCAAGUUUCAAAAUAAGAAUCAGCAUUUGAUGGCCUGUUUUUGGGCAUCAAUUAUUCAUUCUUCUUUUAAGGCCACUUAUCCAAGAUUUCUUGCUGAUUGAUUGUGGAGGCCAAGAACAUUAGCUUUCAUCGCAUUAGUGUCUAAUUACCCAUAUAGAAGGACAUUACUGGUAGAAUAGGAAUCUUAUCGCUACGGAGAAAAGCCGAGUAACUCAAACAAAAGUAGAUAGUAAUGCCAUGAAUCCUCAUACCAUUUUAUACACACGGAUACAUACAUCUGUACGUACAGACACAAAGUCAGCUUAAAGGAUAGCGCAAUGUAGAAGACGAAGAGGAGACUUCUUCCGCGCCUCCCUCCCGACAGAUUUCAAAUUAUUUAAAUCCCUUUCACGCGCACCAACCUCCCCAAUUCAGACCCUUCAGUUCGUUCCAUCCAUAUAUAAUCACUGUCACAAGACAUACUCCUUCCCCUCCAACACAACCACUCCGCAACCCUUCCCUUCCCUUCCGCUCCCUCUCACUCUGUCCUCUUCUCUCCUCUCUUUCUCUUUUCUUCUCUUCAUCUUGUUUUAGAAGCUCCACCACUGGUGAACUGCCACGCCCGCGUCCCUCAGCUUCCCGUAGAGGGCGAGGCACUGCCAGUAAGCCCGCUGCCCGCCCCUCGUCGCCCUCUUCUUCACCUUCUCCCUCAUCUCAUCGGCCUCCCACGACUGGUGAUCGCACUCCAGGAAGAGCUCGUCCACCAGCCCGAUCGCCCCCUCCGCCAUCGCCUCCUCCACAGCCGUCGCCUCCGCCUUCACCACCACGUACUCCUCCUCCUUCACGUUCCUUUCAAGCCACUCCGCCAGCGAUGCCGUCGCCCCCUCCUCCGCCUUCACGGCCUCAUCUUCGUCGUCUUUCAUCUCCAGUCGGAUGACGUCGAAGGCCCGGCCCUUUCUUGGGUAGUUCCGCUUGAACCACGACUCACCGCUGCCCGCCUCUCCCGCCGCUACCAUUUCCACGAAUACCCGCCGUGGGUACCCAUCCAGCUCGUCCCCCGUAAGCUCCGGCAAGUAUCUCGCCCUUCGCUGCCGCCCAUGUUGCCCCGGUCUCGGCGGCUCCAACAGCGCAUCUUCCAGCCCUCUCAGCGCUUUCUUCUUCGCCUCCGGCAGCGAUAGCAGCCGCCGCAUUUUCAGCCCUUCACCACUCGCGGAGGACUUCCUCAUCGCCACCAUGGUGGCGGAACCAAUCCAGCCGACGUAAGCCAUGCGGUAGUUCGCCGGCGGGAUGAAGGAAUCCGAUGAAUCAGGGCUCAAUCUGACAGCCGCGACGCCGCCGAUCUUGAGGAUCCGAUCGAUUUGUUCGAAAUCGCCCGUAGAGGCUCCGAAGACAAAGUCAGCGGAGCCGUCCGGAACCUCGAUCCCUCGAUCGCCAGCGAUCGGAUCGUUCAGAAGGACGGCGUUGUCCUCGGGGCGAAGCAGGCCACGGCGCCUCAGAUCGCCGAGGAGACUAGGGAGGAAGGUAGCGUCGCUGUCGAGGGCCCGCUGGCCUACCGCGACCCCACCAACGUCGCCGAGGCGGAGGAUGGCGGCUCGGAGCCAGGUGAAGGAGAAGACGGCGGCGGCAAGAAGCACCGAUCGGGCGACCAGGCGGAGAAGGCGGGGCUCCGGCAGGCGGAUCACGAGGCGGUCGCCUCCGAUUUCGAUGGCGCCGCCGAGUUCGAGGCGUCGGAUACCGCUCGGCUUCUUCAUCGGAGACCUUUCCGUUUUGAGGGUUACGGGAUUCCACUUCCCGAGAAAUGGGCUGCAAGGAGCUAGAGAGAGGAGAGAGACAGAGAGAGAGAGAAGGGCAGGGGUGGGUUAGCGGGUGCAGAAGCGGGCAGCGGUGUGGUUACCACCCACAAGAGCAACACGCGUGCUUUGAGAUCGGAGGCAGAGGAGCAAUAGGUUCUUGGAGCGUAGCGAUUCCAUCAUGCGUUUGUGCCGUUCAAACAGAUGGACGGUGGAGAUGCCAGCGAUCAGCUCAACGUCUCGGCCUCCCCGGUGGACCAAACCCAGAAGGUAAUGUUUUCCAACCCAAAACCCUUCGAAUCUUAAGAAUUGCUCAUGCAAGUAAUUGGGAGCUUCCGAGGGGAUGAGAGAAUGCAGAACGAUGGAAGAGGGCGGAGAUAGAGUGGUAUGAGAGAUGCAUGCGUUCUUUAAUAUAGUGGAACGAAGAUAAUAUAUUAGUUUCGUUGGUAUAAUAUAUUAUUUUUAGAAGAUUGUUGUUAUGUACAUAUAAGAACAGUUUGGUUUUGGGAGAUUAUUUUUAGAAGGGUUUAAGGAUCGUUUGUUACGGUAAGCCUGUUAAGACAGGUUGGACAGUAACAAAUUAAUAGCGUCUAAUGCGUGUCUAAUUCGCUAAUCUUAUGAGAUCGGGUGACAACUAAUCAGUAAAAAUUAUAUAUAAAUAAUAUUAGUUCUUUUAUCAUAUAUAUAUAUAUAUAUAUAUAUAUAUAUAUAUAAACUUUUUAGAAGGUAAGUUUCGUAAUGACUUUUUACCUUUUCGAAAUAUUAGCUGAAAUAAUAUCAUAAAACAUAGUUAACAAACAUCGACAGUUGUUUAUAUAUCUUAAUAAUAUCUUAGCUCAUCAAUGUAAGAUUGCUACAUUGACGAGACAAUCUCAAUGGACUUUAUGCAUGUUCGAUUUGGGCUCUCUUGGCUUAAUAAGGUUCAAUGUUGGGUAGGGCCUAACCUAAGAAAGCCCAACCAAAUACUGAAUUGGAGUCGUCCAUCCACUUGAUGGGAAUUAAUCUACGAGGAUACUGAAUCCUAAUGGCAGUGGACAAGAUAGUUUAUUUCUGAAAUUUAUAGAAAAAAUGGACUAUAGAUUUUUGAACGUUAAGUUCAUGUUAUAUUAUUAUUAUUUUAACUUACGCUAUUGUGAUUAUUAAUUUCUUUUAGAAUUGAUGCUUUAAAAAACACUCCAAAAAAUGAUGAAGAGAAUGGAUAGAUAUGUUGCCCGUCAUGUGUGUGUUACAUGUCAUCGGAUUUGAAGUUUACGAUUUUGUUCUUUUGGAGCAUGUGAGUUUCAAAAAGUAUAAGGAUAAGAGAAACCUAACGGACAGUCAUUAGUUCCCAUAUUUCUUAACCAAUAUGAGAUUAAAUGAUCUUAUUAGUUGGAAUAGUAUAUCUUUUAAUAGUAUAUAUAAUAAAUAAAUUAUUUUAUGAGAUCGGGAAAUUUUUUCCAAUUGGAGACUUUUUGAUGGGUAAAAGGUGAGUUGGAUGUCUGUCGAAUUCGUUAUCAGUAAAGAUGGUGGCAAACAAUUGCAUCCAGUUCACAUGUUCAAAAUCUAACUUCAUAAAAGAACUCGUAUAAAUCAUAAAAGUAUUUUAAAGUUCGAUGGAGAAUUUGUUUAUAUUUGUUUAGGCUUAGGGAUGAGACCAAUUUUCCAGGUUGCGCCAGAAAACCUAUACGAUUCCUAGGGCAGUCUACCUGACUGUCCUACCUGCCAGGAGACUGGGAAUGGGGACGGUCUUCGGGACCCAUGUCUUGGGUAGUCCUAUCAAUACGCAGGGGUCUUGGUAGGAAAAGCAUGUUCAUCACUUCUGACCAAUAAUUAUUCCACGCCUUAAUUUUCACUCCUCAAACGUUACCUAUUACAGAAGUAACGUGGGUGGCACGUGCGGAGACGUGUGCGUGUAAGACUUCCCGGGGAAAAUUAUGUUUUCGAUAAUAAUGAUAAAUAAAACCAACCCCUGCGAUGAUGAGCAAAUUUAGGAGGGCAUAGAGACGUGAAAGACAUUAAUUCUCUCCCCAUUAAACUUUACUAGGGCAAGAUGGAGGCCGAGGCCACCUCUUCCACCGCUCCGGCGAGGCUGAGGCGCCCCCGCGUGCCGGCCACGGACGAGGACCAGGUCCGCGUGAAGCGGCGGGCCCUCGAGGUGGUACUCGAGAACUGCAAAAGAGCGAUGGAAUUGUUGGAGAACGCGGCCCCUGAUUGCGAUCCCAACGACGAGGGCGAAGCACGGGAGGCGGCGGUAGCGGCUGGUGAGGUGGAGGGAUCGCCACCGCGAUCUCAAUCUGCAGCAGAUCCCGAUGCCAAUGCCUAUGCCUAUGCCGAUGACGAUGAGGUACGGGUGGGACCUGUUCGGAUUCUUACUGACUUUUGAUUGGAUCCCGUUUAUAAAUCAUAGUUGUUGAGAUGGACGAUCGAAUAGGGGAAUGCUGGUGUAAUCUUAGCUGUUUAGAUUGUAAAUUUGGCACAAUGAUGGCGAAAUUUCUUUUUCAUUUUGUGUUGAAUGUCUAAUCACUUCUUUUUGUAUAUAGGAAUGAUGUCAGUUUAUUGUUCGUCAUCGUGCUUGCACUUACUGCUGCAGUGGGUUACCGUUCGUUAGAUUUGUGUGUCCACUGACGAAUAUAAAGUUGGGAUUCAUACAAAAUAACACUGGAGAAUUUGGAGCUUGUCGAUCAAAGUUCAUAAGUUCUAGGCAACUUUGCGAAUUUAACUGACUUGUUACGAGGGAAUCGUGCACAAGCAUGUUCAUCUUCUUUGUAUAUGGCCAAUCUAUUAAUUUUGAAAUGGGAUCAUUUCUAUAGUCCUGUCGAAGGCAUUACUUGAACUUUAAAAGGCAAGAGCACAAAAUCAGCUUUUAAUCUUCUGUGGUUCUUUGUUGAUGCUUGCUCUGCAACUUGGGAUGUUACAUAAACAUUAGAUAUCUUUUUUUUCCCCAAGAGAAAAACAUGAGAUAUCUUAGACCAUUUUGUUCUUUACAUGUCCUCGAUGCUCAUAUAUAAUGGUGACAGAAUGAUGUCACAGUCUGUUUACUUAUAGAGGUAGACUUUUUUAUAUAAUCUAAUUUGAUCCACAAAAGCUUGUGUUAUCUAGUUAGUUUCAUUUUAGAUGGGUAUUUGUAUAUCAGUUUGAUGCCAUGUUUGCAUGAUUACAUGCCUACACAUCAUUGAUCCUGUAUUUUGUUGGUUAAUUUGAUAAAUUCAACUCUUCAGUGGUUUGCAAAAUCACCCACCACGAAAAGUUACAUGAUUCCCUUUUCCGAUGCCG
This 28332-nucleotide long non-coding RNA is filed under the name Musa acuminata (dwarf banana). RNAcentral's name for it is "long non-coding RNA (MACU_LNC000358)". The record is from RNAcentral. Lineage: Eukaryota; Viridiplantae; Streptophyta; Magnoliopsida; Zingiberales; Musaceae.